CCUACGGGGGGCAGUAGUCGAGAAUCAUUCACAAUGGGGGAAACCCUGAUGGUGCGACGCCGCGUGGGGGAAUGAAGGUCUUCGGAUUGUAAACCCCUGUCAUGUGGGAGCAAAUUAAAAAGAUAGUACCACAAGAGGAAGAGACGGCUAACUCUGUGCCAGCAGCCGCGGUAAUACAGAGGUCUCAAGCGUUGUUCGGAAUCACUGGGCGUAAAGCGUGCGUAGGCUGUUUCGUAAGUCGUGUGUGAAAGGCGCGGGCUCAACCCGCGGACGGCACAUGAUACUGCGAGACUAGAGUAAGGGAGGGGGAACCGGAAUGCUCGGUGUAGCAGUGAAAUGCGUAGAUAUCGAGAGGAACACUCGUGGCGAAGGCGGGUUCCUGGACAUUAACUGACGCUGAGGCACGAAGGCCAGGGGAGCGAAAGGGAUUAGAUACCCCUGUAGUC
This 446-nucleotide ribosomal RNA is filed under the name uncultured bacterium. RNAcentral's name for it is "partial 16S ribosomal RNA". It matches the Rfam family "Bacterial small subunit ribosomal RNA", at positions 338 to 795 of the family's 1533-position model. The record is from RNAcentral.